UGCGCCAAGGAAAACCGAACGAAGCAUCCGCCCCCGGCAUCCCGUUCGCGGAGCGUGCCGCGGGAUCGGGCGUCUAUCAAAUGUCAAAACGACUCUCGGCAACGGAUAUCUCGGCUCUCGCAUCGAUGAAGAACGUAGCGAAAUGCGAUACUUGGUGUGAAUUGCAGAAUCCCGUGAACCAUCGAGUCUUUGAACGCAAGUUGCGCCCGAAGCCAUUAGGCCGAGGGCACGUCUGCCUGGGCGUCACGC
RNAcentral lists this ribosomal RNA (249 nucleotides) under Clinopodium sericeum. RNAcentral describes it as "5.8S ribosomal RNA". The stretch from base 91 to 246 matches the Rfam family "5.8S ribosomal RNA". From Rfam's summary of the family: 5.8S ribosomal RNA (5.8S rRNA) is a component of the large subunit of the eukaryotic ribosome. The record is from RNAcentral. Lineage: Eukaryota; Viridiplantae; Streptophyta; Magnoliopsida; Lamiales; Lamiaceae.